GCUCCGUUGGUGAACCAGCGGAGGGAUCAUUACCGAGUUUUGUUACUCCAAAACCCUUGUGAACUUAUACAUUUUCUGUUGCUCCGGCGGGUUAACGCCCCGGAAAGCCCAAAAAGGCGCCGGAACCAGGAGCCCGCCGAGGGAACCAAACUCUUGUAUUUCUUACUUUGUAUGACUGCGUGGAAUCAUAACCAAAUGAAUCAAAACUUUCAACAACGGAUCUCUUGGUUCUG
RNAcentral lists this unclassified non-coding RNA (233 nucleotides) under plant metagenome. RNAcentral's name for it is "partial contains small subunit ribosomal RNA, internal transcribed spacer 1, and 5.8S ribosomal RNA". The record is from RNAcentral.